This 232-nucleotide ribosomal RNA is filed under the name uncultured bacterium. RNAcentral describes it as "partial 16S ribosomal RNA". It matches the Rfam family "Bacterial small subunit ribosomal RNA", at positions 99 to 334 of the family's 1533-position model. The record is from RNAcentral.
CGGACGGGUGAGUAAUGUAUGGGGAUCUGCCUGAUGGCGGGGGAUAACUACUGGAAACGGUAGCUAAUACCGCAUAACGUCGCAAGACCAAAGAGGGGGACCUUCGGGCCUCUUGCCAUCGGAUGUGCCCAGAUGGGAUUAGCUAGUAGGUGGGGUAACGGCUCACCUAGGCGACGAUCCCUAGCUGGCCUGAGAGGAUGACCAGCCACACUGGAACUGAGACACGGUCCAG